CCCGAAUUGCCAAUGUUGGUCGUCCGUUUGGCUGUGAAAGAUGUAUAAAUACGCAGUCACGUCUGGUCAGAAUGGGGACAUUAAAUCCGAUGCCUAGUUAUAGAGAGAAUGCAACUCGUUGAGGAGUUCGUAGUUAGUCUACUGAAAGGCAAAAUUUCUGCUCCUAUCCAAUAAUCCCUCAUUUUCCAAUGCAUGGCAUUUUUAAAUUUCAAGACCUUCGUCCUGGACGACACCUAUUACAGGACCUAGCUCCAAGUUGUAUUUAUUGUAAAAUAAUUUUUUUUCAACGGUCCUGAACUUGCAUACAUAUUUGACACUGGAUGUAAAAAAAUCAAUCAAUCAACUGGCUUCCAGUAAUUUUGAGUACUCUCAAAUCUGCGUGUAAUGGCCUGGCGGGCACAAUGAUUCAAAAUUCCUAAGCAGGUAUGGAUUUUACAGUAGAGGAUAUAAAGAAAUACGAAUUUCUUGAAUUUUGUUAGGCAUCGACUGUGUCUGUAUGUGUUUGUGUGGCGAGGGUGAAGGUUUAAGAUUCAAAAGAUUGAUGGUUGAUGUCUAGCCAAAAGGAUAGUUCUAUUAUAUAGUAUAGUAUCAGUGUUUACGUGCCUAU
This 607-nucleotide long non-coding RNA is filed under the name Mytilus galloprovincialis (Mediterranean mussel). The record is from RNAcentral. Lineage: Eukaryota; Metazoa; Mollusca; Bivalvia; Mytilida; Mytilidae.